This 367-nucleotide ribosomal RNA is filed under the name Salmonella enterica subsp. enterica serovar London. RNAcentral's name for it is "bacterial SSU rRNA". It matches the Rfam family "Bacterial small subunit ribosomal RNA", at positions 1158 to 1523 of the family's 1533-position model. The record is from RNAcentral. Lineage: Bacteria; Pseudomonadati; Pseudomonadota; Gammaproteobacteria; Enterobacterales; Enterobacteriaceae.
ACAAUGCGGAGGAAGGCGGGGAUGACGUCAAAUCAUCAUGCCCCUUAUGACCUGGGCUACACACGUACUACAAUGGGAGUUAAUAGACGGAAGCGAGAUCGCGAGAUGGAGCAAACCCGAGAAACACUCUCUCAGUUCGGAUCGUAGGCUGCAACUCGCCUACGUGAAGUCGGAAUCGCUAGUAAUCGCAGGUCAGCAUACUGCGGUGAAUACGUUCCCGGGCCUUGUACACACCGCCCGUCACACCACGAAAGUCGGAAGUGCCCAAAGCCGGUGGGGUAACCUUCGGGAGCCAGCCGUCUAAGGUAAAGUCGAUGAUUGGGGUGAAGUCGUAACAAGGUAGCCGUAUCGGAAGGUGCGGCUGGAU